Molecule: non-coding RNA, 75 nt
Organism: Myotis brandtii (Brandt's bat)
Lineage: Eukaryota; Metazoa; Chordata; Mammalia; Chiroptera; Vespertilionidae
Source: Rfam
GGCAGUUCUCAGGUGAUGCACCCUGGAAUCAGGCUCCCUCCUCUCUGGUUCCAGGUGUGUCACCCAAGAACCACA